This 346-nucleotide unclassified non-coding RNA is filed under the name soil metagenome. RNAcentral's name for it is "partial contains 5.8S ribosomal RNA, internal transcribed spacer 2, and large subunit ribosomal RNA". The stretch from base 1 to 120 matches the Rfam family "5.8S ribosomal RNA", at positions 35 to 154 of the family's 154-position model. The record is from RNAcentral.
GAUGAAGAACGCAGCGAAAUGCGAUAAGUAAUGCGAAUUGCAGAUUUCAGUGAGUCAUCGAAUCUUUGAACGCACAUUGCGCCCCCUGGUAUUCCGGGGGGCAUGCCUGUCCGAGCGUCAUUGCUGCCCUCAAGCACGGCUUGUGUGUUGGGCCCCGUCCUCCGAUCCCGGGGGACGGGCCCGAAAGGCAGCGGCGGCACCGCGUCCGGUCCUCGAGCGUAUGGGGCUUUGUCACCCGCUCUGUAGGCCCGGCCGGCGCUUGCCGAUCAACCCAAAUUUUUAUCCAGGUUGACCUCGGAUCAGGUAGGGAUACCCGCUGAACUUAAGCAUAUCAAUAAGCGGAGGA